This is a long non-coding RNA of Mesoplodon densirostris (Blainville's beaked whale), 614 nucleotides long. RefSeq lists it as uncharacterized. The transcript has 6 exons. The record is from RefSeq and is a predicted model, not a curated record. Lineage: Eukaryota; Metazoa; Chordata; Mammalia; Artiodactyla; Ziphiidae.
GGAGCCUCGAGAACCCGUAGGCGGCGGCCCUGCGGCCCGAGCAGUAACGACUGCGGCUCCCGGAAGUCCCCGUUCCGCCGCGAGUAACGAAUUGAGCUUCUUGAGAGUAAGAACUCCGGUUCGUCGUCGUCACCCACCGCUUACCGCAGUGCCGAGGGUUCGCCAGGCGCUAGCAGUUUGCUGAAGAGAGUGGGUGUUUAUAGUGAAAAGAGAAGAGGACCCAAUGAGAAAACGGUCAUCUGCAACACAGAAGAGGGCCCUCACCAGAAUCCCACCAUGCUGGCAUCCUGAUCUCAGACUUCCAGCCCAGAACUAUAUAGUUCAACAUUUUCCUGAGACACCAUUUCCCUCUACGUAGGACCUGACUUGAUAUUUGAGAAAAGCUCAACUAUGGAAUGAAAAAGCAGAAAUGAAUGGCCUCCAAAUCUUAAUUUUUUUGUCAGUUGCUACUACUCUUGAUUGAGGAAUACUAGCCUUUGCAUAGCUGUUGUGAAAAAGGAGAUGACCAGAAGAAAUUCACCUUGCGGUGGCAGCUGCCACCAACACACAGAAGCACUCACUCAAGAUGGCUUAAAGGAGACAGUGACUCAAUGUACGACUAGAAAAUUGAGCAA